Molecule: small nucleolar RNA, 99 nt
Organism: Sciurus carolinensis (gray squirrel)
Lineage: Eukaryota; Metazoa; Chordata; Mammalia; Rodentia; Sciuridae
Product: small nucleolar RNA U13
Exons: 1
Source: RefSeq, a predicted model, not a curated record
GUCCUUUAAGGUUCAUAAGUUUGAUGAUUGGGUGUUCUUGCUAUAAUGUAAGAUGUGCCUCCCUCGAACAUUGUUAUGUUGUUGGUACAUUACGUGAAA